UAGAUUUUUCAAACUUACAGUGCUUCACUUUCUGUAUAGUCCUUCCAGAAAAAACGCAAGCUAUUUUAAAUAUAGAACUAUUACCUAGUACUGAAACCAUCUCCUGAAACCAGUCUUGCUUACUUUUGCUUCGUGUGCCGCAUAUUUUCUUCUAAUGCAGCUGAUUCUUCGGUUAUUUGGGGUGUAAUGUUUUGGAACUGCUAAGGGAGAACUUUUUAAAUCCUAGGAAGGUUGUCUCUAUAUGAAUUAUAGGUGAGGUUUUUUUAUGUUAUUUUGAACUGAAUGUUUUUUAACCUAUGACCAGGUGGACUAAGACACCCAGGAAACUUCAAGGAAGAAAGGAUCCCAAACAAGUCUUAAAGACCCAGUUAGGGUGUACUGUAGGGUACGCCUAUUGAGCCUUCCUGAUCAAGAGUGCUGUGUAGAAGCGAUCAAUAACAUAACUGUUCAGCUUCAUACUCCUGAGGGUUACAGACUCAACCAAAAUGGACACUGAGGAGGCCAGAAAAAGAGAUGUAUUGCUAACACACAUUUGAAUCGUGAGUCUAGCCAUUCUCAUAGCAUGUUCAACAUUAAAUUAGUUUAGGCUCCCCUGGAUGCAGAUGGAGACAGUGUCUUACAGGAAAAGGAACAAAUCACUGUAAGUCAGUUGUCCCUGGUAGAUCUUGCUAGAAGUGAAAGAAUGAACUGGAGAAAAGCAGAAGGGAACAGAUUAUGUGAAGCUGGUGAGCACAGCAUAGUACUGGUUUAUUGCUACAACUUCCAAAAACUUGAAAUGUCAGUCUGUCACCUGCUUAUUGAUAGGUGGUUUAAGCAUAAUUGUCUUCAAUUUUGAUAAUCUGGAGGCUAAGUU
Long non-coding RNA from Lutra lutra (Eurasian river otter), 853 nucleotides. RefSeq lists it as uncharacterized. The record is from RefSeq and is a predicted model, not a curated record. The transcript has 4 exons. NCBI's taxonomy places the organism in Eukaryota, Metazoa, Chordata, Mammalia, Carnivora, Mustelidae.